This 3843-nucleotide long non-coding RNA is filed under the name Hordeum vulgare. Its description in RNAcentral is "long non-coding RNA (HVUL_LNC012794)". The record is from RNAcentral. Lineage: Eukaryota; Viridiplantae; Streptophyta; Magnoliopsida; Poales; Poaceae.
AUCAAUACAAAAUUUAUUUGGCUCAAAUAGUCUAACUUGAUUUUGUUGUGUCCUUAUUUCAAAAGGUUCAGCUCCAAAAAAUAACGUUUCUGGGAUAAGGAAUGACGUGAUGAAAUGCAAGCUAAAAUAUAAUAUUUACAAAUGAAAUACAUCUUCAUUUCUGCACCACGUAUCACAGAAAAUAUAAUAUACAUCAUCUGUCGACUCUACACAUCUAAGACCAAAAAGUCAUGGCCAAAAAGUUCACGCAAAACUUGAUCUAUCACAUGGAUUUAAAUUAAAAUGAGACACAAAGCAUCUUCUUCCCUCUACUUCCGAGUAGCCCUAUUGUAGAACAUCCUGUCAUUUCAAACGAUAAAACAUUAAAAACAUACAAAAUAUAAUGGAGACAUAUGGCCGUUUUACAUUAAGCAGUAAACAUAAGCAAGAUAGAAAGGCUUGUUUGCUGGCAGAAAUAAGGUGGGCAACAUGUUUCUUUACUUGAAUGGAUUUACAGUACAACCCUUGAACAACAACAUACAUACAAGAAACCCCAUGAAGAACGCUCACUUGAAUCUUCUUUAUAUUUUUCUUGCAUAACAGAAUGGGGGAAUGAGCAUUACCUGGCAGAAAUAUCAACAGAAGCAUACAACCUGGACAGUGCAGGCUAGAUCUGGAAGAGAAAAAAUGAUACCAUAUGCAGAAAGGUGAGAUUGAGAUGUACAUUACCGAAGAAAAGAGAAGGGUGCACAUUACAGAAAACAGAAUCGAGUUAUAUAUAUUUGAUAUGGUAUGCUAAUGCAUACUUCCAACUCAUACAUGACGCACAUACGCAACAAAUUUCAAGCAAGCAGGAGGCAUAAUUUCUGUACAAGAUCUAUGCUAAGCUUGGGACAUUGUAGAAUACCUAACAUAUGAGUUUCUAUAGGGCAUUGAUCGUGACAAGGAGGUGCUACUGAUCAUUGACGUAUAGUUUUGCACAUAGUAUAUAUAUUGGGGUUUGUUUCCAGUUUCCAUUGGGUAAGAACCACAACAGAAAUUCCUUAAAUUUGGUUGUACCCAAUGUAUUAUAGUAAGCUGAUUAUGCUUAUAAAGUAUGGAGCCGUAUAGAAUACAGCAGUUCCUGGUGGAAAUACAGCAGUGCUGUGCGUUGUUGUGCUUGCCGUGGGUAUCCGUUCUGUCUGAUUGCACGAACAAGUAUAGGCAAGCUGUGCUGACGGCUGCAGUGUACGUUAGAUGGUUGAGUUUAAUGCUGAACGGGACAGGAAGGAAAGGAUUUCUAGCAGUGAGACAAUGCAUACAGAGACCGCUAGUAUUAUGCUACAGACCAAGUAAUUUGCUUAUUAUAUUUGAAAUUUUCUGAGAAUAAAAUAUUACAUUGUUAAUUUUAGCUGAUAUUAGAGAACAAAAAAAUGAUCUACUACAGAAAAUACAUAUACAUUAAAAUAUAAGAAGACCGGAAUACUUGGCGAGUUAUUAUUUUUAAAAUAUCUGAAAAUGGAGUUGCAUCCUCGAUAUGAUGUGCUGACAUGCUAUUGCGACAAAAUUAUUAAAUCAUGUAACCAUGGAACAGUCAGAAGGAGGAAAUAACCAACGGUUUUGAAAAUGCAGUCGCAUACUCAAUAUGAUGUAUUGUCAUGCUAUUGCGAUAAAACAGAUUAAUUCCCUAUCUAUGGGACAUCAAAAUAAUAUAUGUUUUUAUAUAUAUAAUCACAAAUUUCUUAAAGGCAGUGAUCAACCAAGAUAGAUACAGACUUAUUUAAAGUUAACGGUAUAUGCUUUUGCUCCAAAACAAUAUAUGCUUUUACAAAUAUACUCCAAAAUGCAUACUCAUAGAACAAAAAAUGAUCUACUACAGAAAAUACAUAUACAUUAAAAUAUAAAAAGACUGGAAUACUUGGCGAGUUAUUAUUUUUAAAAUAUCUGAAAAUGGAGUGGCAUCCUCGAUAUGAUGUGCUGACAUGCUAUUGCGACAAAAUUAUUAAAUCAUGUAACCAUGGAACGGUCAGAAGGAGGAAACAACCAACGGUUUUGAAAAUGCAGUCGCAUACUCAAUAUGAUGUAUUGUCAUGCUAUGGCGAUAAAACAGAUUAAUUCUCUAUCUAUCGGACAUCAAAAUAGUAUAUGCUUUUAUAAAUAUAAUCACAAAUUUCUUAAAGGCAGUGAUCAACCAAGAUAGAUACAGACUUCUUUAAAGUUAACGGCAUAUGCUUUUCCUCCAAAACAAUAUAUGAUUUUACAAAUAUACUCCAAAAUUUAAAGUUAACGGUAUAUGCUUUUGCUCCAAAACAAUAUAUGCUUUUACAAAUAUACUCCAAAAUGCAUACUCAUAGAACAAAAAAUGAUCUACUACAGAAAAUACAUAUACAUUAAAAUAUAAAAAGACUGGAAUACUUGGCGAGUUAUUAUUUUUAAAAUAUCUGAAAAUGGAGUGGCAUCCUCGAUAUGAUGUGCUGACAUGCUAUUGCGACAAAAUUAUUAAAUCAUGUAACCAUGGAACGGUCAGAAGGAGGAAACAACCAACGGUUUUGAAAAUGCAGUCGCAUACUCAAUAUGAUGUAUUGUCAUGCUAUGGCGAUAAAACAGAUUAAUUCUCUAUCUAUCGGACAUCAAAAUAGUAUAUGCUUUUAUAAAUAUAAUCACAAAUUUCUUAAAGGCAGUGAUCAACCAAGAUAGAUACAGACUUCUUUAAAGUUAACGGCAUAUGCUUUUCCUCCAAAACAAUAUAUGAUUUUACAAAUAUACUCCAAAAUGCAUACUCAUAGAAUAAUAUAUGCAAUUACAAAUAUAAUCGCAAAUUUCUUAAAAGGCAGGGAUCAACCAAGAUAGCUAAGGAUCUUGUUGGACUCGAAGGUCAUUUCAUGUUCCGUAAUUAAUCCUGUUCAUGAUGUUUAGUGGUGAUGUUUUUGAAGUGAUGUUGUGUGGUAUUCAGAAGAGGGUUGUGCUAUGUUUUGCUGCUGGUUCAAUUUAUGGGCACGACCCUUGUGUUGCAUUUUCAAACAAGCUUAGUUUCUCAUUAGUUGAUGUGUUCAUCGUUCACAGGAUCAGAAUAGUUAUGGCGUUAUGUGCAGUUUCUUUUUGAUGAUAAAGGACCUGCCGUUCACAAGAUGGUCCUUUAAACACUUUGUGGUAAGCUGAACCAUAGUGAACUAAUCGCACUGCCUGAACAUGAAGGGCGUAAAUAGAGAAUACGGUGUGUUGUGAAUACCUGUCAGCUGAAAUACAUGUGAGUACAUGCGAGCCUGUAGCUGAUCGGCGUGCUCUCUGACGAUGGAGAACGGAUCCAGGAUGAACACAUGGGAAUACCCUGGGAGAACAAACCAUCUAGAACGAUCUUGUAGGUACAAUACUCAUGCUCACGGCCCUCUCAUCCACCAAAACAAGUGCCAAUUUCUCCGAUCCACACAUUUCAGGUACAUCCAAUCCGCCAGCUUCCUACGAGACCAAAACUAAAAUCAAGAUCCCCCGUACAGACAGGGAACGCAUCCGGGAAGGAUGGGUCGGGGACGAACCUGAGGGCCUGGUGAGGGAUUCGCCGGAGCGCGCGACUGUGAAGAUGCCGCUCGGCAGCAAGCUUCUCGGAGAGCUCCGCCGAGUACGUGGCUGCGAGGGCGGCGACGCUGGUGUCCAUUGCGAUGCAAGUGUUGAGGACGAGGGGGCGGGAAGCAGGACGCCAUGUGGGAGACAACGCGGUGGUUGUGCUCGGGUGGUGACGGGGAAGGGUGCGCGGAUCUGGACAUGGUGUUUGGGCAUAGGUGGUGCUGAGGGAGGUGGAGGCUGGCGGCUGGCAAGAAGAGAGGCAAGGGGACGUGGCUGGGAACUAGGGUUAGGGUUAUGUGGGAGAGAGGAUUUAUAACGUAUUGG